Molecule: long non-coding RNA, 242 nt
Filed under: Elaeis guineensis (African oil palm)
Lineage: Eukaryota; Viridiplantae; Streptophyta; Magnoliopsida; Arecales; Arecaceae
Description: long non-coding RNA (EGUI_LNC077016)
Source: RNAcentral
UGCAUGUAUUUGUACGCGUGCUCCAGCAGUUCGGCGUAUGUCUGGGGGAGGGUCUUGUCGAAGGAGUAUGUGAAUCGGAACCCCCUUAGCCCCCUCUUCAUGGUUGAGAUAGCCAUGUCUUCGUUGAGGUCCCGAACCUCAAGCGUGGCUGCAUUGAAUCGCAUCAUGAAAUGUCAGAGCAUCUCGUUUUCCCCCUGCUUGAGGGAAAAAAGGCUGUCCGAGGUUCGUGACGGCUUCUGACU